ACUCAAGUUGAGGUCAACAGAUGAAGAGAGAAGACACUGCUGGGAGGGGGGCCACAGGUGUCCACCCCAAAGACUAUCUGAUUAUAGUCCUAUCUCACACACAUGCACAUUUCCAUGCCCACGAGGGCCCUAGUCUUAGGCAUGGCCAUGACAAUACCAGUAAGAGCUCCUCUGUUUCUGCCUAAAUACAGAGAAGGAGUGUCUAUCUUAGAUAGGAGAUGAUAGGGGAUGACUCCGCCUAUUUGGAAGGAAUGAAGAUGUGCUUGUGGGACUUGUAUGUUGUCUUUGCAGCUUUAUGACUCAGUGGUUGAAUAAACUUGGUUUGAGCUUUUUCUAGUCGCCCGUGAGUUUUGUACAGAACCUAACAGUUGCCAAUGUUGACAGGAUUAACCAAUAUUUAUAGUUGAACUGGAGAGUUCAAAUCAGUAGAACAGGAGCCAGCACAAAACAAGGUUAUGGCAAUAGCGACCCCAGACCGUAUCUAGAUGCAUUGAAGGGAUUAUUCGACCGAGAACAGUGUGAGCCUUACCCCCUCUAACAGGGAGAAGAAAUUGCGACAAUGGUGUUCACUAUGACCCUGUCCUCCACCACUUCUACCUGAGACAUGAGUCCGAGCCAGCAAACGGUGUACAGCAUCCAGUCGAAGCUAUCAAUGCCUUUUCUCUCAGGAGCGCAGCAUGAGUCCUGAGACCGUCCACGUGGAGUGAGCAUGGAGAGAGAUCAUGUCAAAACUUAUCUCAUGUCGCUGGUGUACUGGUUGGAAAAUGGACAAGAAAGAAAUGGACAAUACAGAAUGGACCGUAAAGGUUGGUGGUGAGAAAUGUGUGUGCUUUGUCUGCUUGGGAAAAUCAGAUUAUUCCCCAGAUAUUGAAAUCGGGGACAUUAUCAAGGGCCAUCCACUUUGACAGGCAUGAGUUACAUGUGUGCCAUUGGGAGGAUGAACUGUAAAGCUAACUGAAGAAGAAAAUGAAGAGACGCCAGACGAAUGAGAGCCGGGAUGCAGGGGAGUGAUCACUGUUCCAGAUGAGGGACUGUUGGAAACUGACUAAUUGACUUGAGCACGUUUUAGUAUGUUUAUAACUAUAUAAGUGGCCUAGCAGUAGUGAUCAACGUGUUAUGGGUUAGAUGGAUUGAUCUAUGUGCAAAUGUAUUUGUGGCCGGAGGCAAAGUACAAAAGGGGCCUGUCUCUGAGACAGAAUGUUUCCAUACGGGUGAGAUAGGAGUCAUAUGAUAGAGCUAAUACUAUAGAUUGUGAACUAUUGCCUUUUAACAGGUCUCAUAGCUUCCCUGUUUUAAAUGAUUGUAUUCUCUCUAUGUUUUGCAUCAUGAUAUUCACUUGAGUAUGAAUGGGUUGCUUAUUCUCAAAUAACUCUUUGUGUAUGAGUCCGGAAAAUUUACAGUGGACUGAGGCUAGGUGCAAGAAUAUAUACUCCCUACUGAUAAGAAGACCGGGAGAUGUGUGAGGAGUUCAGGACUCGGGAUGGGACGAUAACACCACCUGCCUAGCCACAGAGAUUAAUUGUACAUACUAGACUCAGGAGGGGGAAGAGUUUGUAUUAGUAUUAUAUUAGUCAACUGCACAUAGCACGCAAAUAGAGGGCGAGGUGAGGAUGACAUCGCGUUGGAACACCUCCAGUAAACCUGCAGCCUGACGGUGGAAGUCUGCCUAUAAGCAUGAGGAGGUGUAUAGAGCCUUCAUUUUUGUGGACCCCAGCAGAAUAGUAUCCCAAAGGUCUAGAGUCAGGCUAAGGGAGAGUGGAAAUCGUCAUGUUGUCAAACUUUGGUUAUUGCCAUAAAUUAUUAUGCAUAUCUUAACGCAUUACUAAUACUUGUCAUAUUUCCUCCUCCCGAAGGAGGAAGAGAAAGUCACAAGCUCCAGCUGAAAUUCAUUAUCAGUUGUACAACAGGAAGGGUAAUGGCAGAUACGUAGGGGGGUGGGGGGUAAGAGUGUGUAUAGUGUGAUUAUAAGUUUGAGACCAGGGCCUAAAGCCAUGGAAGAAUAUUACAUAGUCAGAGGCCAUACGUCUUGGAGGUGUAAACAUACAAAUCAAUUGAGAAUAUUAAUCAUGUUUUCUCUUCUGUUCAUUUAUAAGUAAUUUCAAAGUUUAUAUCAUUUUGAACCGUAUGGAGCUACUAUUAAAAAAGGAGGGACUGA
Oncorhynchus tshawytscha (Chinook salmon) is the source of this 2155-nucleotide long non-coding RNA. RefSeq lists it as uncharacterized. Lineage: Eukaryota; Metazoa; Chordata; Actinopteri; Salmoniformes; Salmonidae. The record is from RefSeq and is a predicted model, not a curated record. The transcript is spliced from 2 exons.